Long non-coding RNA from Bos taurus (domestic cattle), 1345 nucleotides. NCBI's taxonomy places the organism in Eukaryota, Metazoa, Chordata, Mammalia, Artiodactyla, Bovidae. The record is from Ensembl.
ACCUAGGCCUGGGGACCUGCUCUUUUUUUUUUUUUUUUAAACAUGAAUUUUCUCUUAACGCCAUUAGAUUAAAAAAUAGCCUGGAGUUUUGCUACUCAGAGUCUAUGAGCCAGCAGCAUCAACAUCACUUGGGAGAUUUUUCACUCCCAAACCUACUGAAACAAUCUGCGUUUUAACAAGAUCUCCAGGUGCAGCCAUCCAUCUGGCUAAUACGAGGACAAGCUGUUAAUUUGUGAAUGAAGAAAAGGUCUGCAGACAACAAACAAACGAGCAAGGAGCUUCAGAAGAUAACAUUUACCUCAAUCCUUGAGAAACAAGGGAGUCCAGAUGACACAGUCAAUACAAAUCAGACUCCUGAGACACAAAGCAGGAUGCAGAAGACUGGAGACUGGACCUGGAGGGACACACCAAGAACAUCGAGCAUGUAAUGAAAGUUUCUUGGGUUUCCCUUGUGGCUCAGUGGUAAAGAAUCCACCUGCCAGUGCUGGAGACACAGGCCCAGCCCUUGAUCUGGGAAGAUCCCACAUGCCCCAGGAUAACUCAGACCGGGCGCCACAACUACUGAGCCUGCGCACUAGAGCCCGAGAGCCACAACUACCAAAGCCACGUGACACCAGAGCCUGUGCUCUUCAAGGAGAGAAACCUCCACGGUGAGAAGCCUGUGCAGCACAAGGAAGAGUGGCCCCCGCUUGCUGCAACUACAGAAGUGUGUGCAGCAACAGAGACCCAGCACGGCCAAAAAUAAAUAAACUGAUUUUUUAAAAAAAGAAUGAAAGCUUCUCGAAAGUUGAGACCGUUGAGCUCAGGGCUGUGUCUCUGACAUCUAUUUUAGUACAUGGUGUAUAGUUGGUGCCAUCUAAUAUCAAAUAUGGUUAAAUGACUAAGUGGGUAAAUGAAUAAAUCAGUUGUUCUUAAGAAGUAUAUUGUCUAGCAUGUAGCAAAAAUAACUCAGAAAUCUUCCAUUUUAAGUAAUAUUUUAUUGAAUUCUUAUCUGAUACUUUGCUAAGAAUUUUACCAGUCUUGCUGCCAAUGAGAGAUGUUUUGGUUUAUAGACAAGAAGAGGGAUAUGCAUAUUUAUAUAAAAUAAAUAUAUGCAUGCAUAUAUUACAUGGGAAUGUGCCUGUGCCUAUAUAUAUAUAUAUAUGAAUGCUAUUUGUGUAGGAAUACAUGUAUAUGUGUGUAUGUGUUCAUUAGUGUGUUUGUGUAUAAAAUUUUUUUGGCCAGAAAGGAGAUAGCUUUCCGUUCAAUGUCUCAUUGGAAGAAUAUUCAUCUUCUGUCCUAGGAAGCAGUGCCAGAGACAGGACAUGGAAAGAGGUGUCAGCGGGAACCUUCCACAGUGCUGACA